RNAcentral lists this ribosomal RNA (402 nucleotides) under bacterium. RNAcentral describes it as "partial 16S ribosomal RNA". It matches the Rfam family "Bacterial small subunit ribosomal RNA", at positions 355 to 776 of the family's 1533-position model. The record is from RNAcentral.
UGGGGAAUUUUGCACAAUGGGGGAAACCCUGAUGCAGCGACGCCGCGUGAUUUAGAAGGCCUUCGGGUUGUAAAAAUCUUUUCUAUGGGAAGAAAAUGACAGUACCAUAGGAAUAAGGACCGGCUAAUUACGUGCCGGCAGCCGCGGUAAUACGUAAGGUCCGAGCGUUGUCCGGAAUCAUUGGGCGUAAAGGGUACGUAGGCGGGUAAGCAAGUUAGAAGUGAAAUCCUAUAGCUCAACUAUAGUAAGCUUUUAAAACUGCUCAUCUUGAGGUAUGGAAGGGAAAGUGGAAUUCCUAGUGUAGCGGUGAAAUGCGCAGAUAUUAGGAGGAAUACCGGUGGCGAAGGCGACUUUCUGGCCAUAACCUGACGCUGAGGUACGAAAGCGUGGGUAGCAAACAGG